CGGCAGCACGGGUGCUUGCACCUGGUGGCGAGUGGCGAACGGGUGAGUAAUACAUCGGAACAUGUCCUGUAGUGGGGGAUAGCCCGGCGAAAGCCGGAUUAAUACCGCAUACGAUCUUUGGAUGAAAGCGGGGGACCUUCGGGCCUCGCGCUAUAGGGUUGGCCGAUGGCUGAUUAGCUAGUUGGUGGGGUAAAGGCCUACCAAGGCGACGAUCAGUAGCUGGUCUGAGAGGACGACCAGCCACACUGGGACUGAGACACGGCCCAGACUCCUACGGGAGGCAGCAGUGGGGAAUUUUGGACAAUGGGCGAAAGCCUGAUCCAGCAAUGCCGCGUGUGUGAAGAAGGCCUUCGGGUUGUAAAGCACUUUUGUCCGGAAAGAAAUCCUUGGUUCUAAUAUAACCGGGGGAUGACGGUACCGGAAGAAUAAGCACCGGCUAACUACGUGCCAGCAGCCGCGGUAAUACGUAGGGUGCGAGCGUUAAUCGGAAUUACUGGGCGUAAAGCGUGCGCAGGCGGUUUGCUAAGACCGAUGUGAAAUCCCCGGGCUCAACCUGGGAACUGCAUUGGUGACUGGCAGGCUAGAGUAUGGCAGA
This 595-nucleotide ribosomal RNA is filed under the name uncultured bacterium. Its description in RNAcentral is "bacterial SSU rRNA". It matches the Rfam family "Bacterial small subunit ribosomal RNA", at positions 67 to 655 of the family's 1533-position model. The record is from RNAcentral.